GACGAACGCUGGCGGCGUGCUUAACACAUGCAAGUCGAACGGAAAGGCCCUGCUUUUGUGGGGUGCUCGAGUGGCGAACGGGUGAGUAACACGUGAGUAACCUGCCCUUGACUUUGGGAUAACUUCAGGAAACUGGGCUUAAUACCGGAUAGAACCUCCUCCUCCUGGGGGGGGUUGGGAAGGUUCGGCGGUUGGGGGUGGACUCGCGGCUUAUCAGCUUGUUGGUGGGGUAGUGGCUUACCAAGGCUUUGACGGGUAGCCGGCCUGAGAGGGUGACCGGCCACAUUGGGACUGAGAUACGGCCCAGACUCCUACGGGAGGCAGCAGUGGGGAAUAUUGCACAAUGGGCGGAAGCCUGAUGCAGCAACGCCGCGUGCGGGAUGACGGCCUUCGGGUUGUAAACCGCUUUCGCCUGUGACGAAGCGUGAGUGACGGUAAUGGGUAAAGAAGCACCGGCUAACUACGUG
RNAcentral lists this ribosomal RNA (467 nucleotides) under uncultured bacterium. Its description in RNAcentral is "partial 16S ribosomal RNA". It matches the Rfam family "Bacterial small subunit ribosomal RNA", at positions 28 to 507 of the family's 1533-position model. The record is from RNAcentral.